AUUAUCUUUGCUAAAUUGCCGUUUGUUGAUCCACGGUUCAGACAAACUGUGACAGUUCUGACAUUGAUUGGAUGAUUCCAAACAGAUCUUUAGUGCAGCUAUUGACAACACAAACAUUACAGAAAAUGGAGGUAAUUUGUGGUUUUACUGUUUAUAUUUUCUGACUUAAAACAGAG
Long non-coding RNA from Sphaeramia orbicularis (orbiculate cardinalfish), 176 nucleotides. RefSeq lists it as uncharacterized. The transcript has 5 exons. NCBI's taxonomy places the organism in Eukaryota, Metazoa, Chordata, Actinopteri, Kurtiformes, Apogonidae. The record is from RefSeq and is a predicted model, not a curated record.